Molecule: ribosomal RNA, 503 nt
Filed under: uncultured Bordetella sp.
Lineage: Bacteria; Pseudomonadati; Pseudomonadota; Betaproteobacteria; Burkholderiales; Alcaligenaceae
Description: partial 16S ribosomal RNA
Source: RNAcentral
CACGUAGUUAGCCGGUGCUUAUUCUGCAGGUACCGUCAGUUGCCUCAGGUAUUAUCCAAGGCCGUUUCUUUCCUGCCAAAAGUGCUUUACAACCCGAAGGCCUUCAUCGCACACGCGGGAUGGCUGGAUCAGGGUUGCCCCCAUUGUCCAAAAUUCCCCACUGCUGCCUCCCGUAGGAGUCUGGGCCGUGUCUCAGUCCCAGUGUGGCUGGUCGUCCUCUCAAACCAGCUACGGAUCGUCGCCUUGGUGAGCCUUUACCCCACCAACUAGCUAAUCCGAUAUCGGCCGCUCUAAUAGUGCGAGGCCCGAAGGUCCCCCGCUUUCCCCAAAAGGGCGUAUGCGGUAUUAGCUACGCUUUCGCGUAGUUAUCCCCCGCUACUAGGCACGUUCCGAUACAUUACUCACCCGUUCGCCACUCGCCGCCAGACCGAAGUCCGCGCUGCCGUUCGACUUGCAUGUGUAAAGCAUCCCGCUAGCGUUCAAUCUGAGCCAGGAUCAAACUC